UACGUAGGGGGCAAGCGUUGUCCGGAUUCACUGGGUUUAAAGGGUGCGUAGGCGGGUAAGUAAGUCCGUGGUGAAAUCUCUGAGCUUAACUCAGAAACUGCCGUGGAUACUAUUUGCCUUGAAUAUUGUGGAGGUGAGCGGAAUAUGUCAUGUAGCGGUGAAAUGCUUAGAUAUGACAUAGAACACCAAUUGCGAAGGCAGCUCACUACACAAUCAUUGACGCUGAGGCACGAAAGCGUGGGGAUCAAACAGG
This 253-nucleotide ribosomal RNA is filed under the name uncultured bacterium. RNAcentral's name for it is "partial 16S ribosomal RNA". It matches the Rfam family "Bacterial small subunit ribosomal RNA", at positions 524 to 776 of the family's 1533-position model. The record is from RNAcentral.